UACGUAGGUGGCAAGCGUUGUCCGGAAUUAUUGGGCGUAAAGCGCGCGCAGGCGGUCCUUUAAGUCUGAUGUGAAAGCCCCCGGCUCAACCGGGGAGGGUCAUUGGAAACUGGAGGACUUGAGUACAGGAGAGAAGAGUGGAAUUCCACGUGUAGCGGUGAAAUGCGUAGAGAUGUGGAGGAACACCAGUGGCGAAGGCGACUCUUUGGCCUGAAACUGACGCUGAGGCGCGAAAGCGUGGGGAGCAAACGGG
This 253-nucleotide ribosomal RNA is filed under the name uncultured bacterium. Its description in RNAcentral is "partial 16S ribosomal RNA". It matches the Rfam family "Bacterial small subunit ribosomal RNA", at positions 524 to 776 of the family's 1533-position model. The record is from RNAcentral.